RNAcentral lists this ribosomal RNA (206 nucleotides) under uncultured bacterium. Its description in RNAcentral is "partial 16S ribosomal RNA". It matches the Rfam family "Bacterial small subunit ribosomal RNA", at positions 335 to 526 of the family's 1533-position model. The record is from RNAcentral.
GCCUCCCUCCGCCGCCACUCACGACCUCCGUACCGGGACGGCGAGCAGUGGGAAGUAGUUGGACAAGUGGGCGGACGUAAGCCUGAUCCGACGCCAUGCCGCGUGAGUGAGUGACGCUAGGUUGUAAGCUCUUUCGUCUCGGGACGAUAAUGACGGUACCGAGAUAAGAAGCCCGGCUAACUUCGUGCCAGCAGCCGCGGUAAUAC